UACUUUUGUAUAUAUGUAUGCAUAUAUGUCUAUACACAAAAUAGGCCAGUUGCAUAGAUAUGUGUAUAUAUACAUACACAAACAUAUAUAUUUGCUUAUAUAAA
RNAcentral lists this microRNA precursor (104 nucleotides) under Microtus ochrogaster (prairie vole). RNAcentral's name for it is "miRNA (ENSMOCG00000008288.1)". Lineage: Eukaryota; Metazoa; Chordata; Mammalia; Rodentia; Cricetidae. The record is from RNAcentral.